RNAcentral lists this long non-coding RNA (429 nucleotides) under Gossypium raimondii (Peruvian cotton). RNAcentral's name for it is "long non-coding RNA (GRAI_LNC007544)". Lineage: Eukaryota; Viridiplantae; Streptophyta; Magnoliopsida; Malvales; Malvaceae. The record is from RNAcentral.
CGGGAUUGGAUCAUUUCUAUUUCGUCUAACAUUAGUUCUGACAAGACUCGAAGUGUAGGAAUAUCAACUUCGAUGGGUAAAACUACCCCUAUUCCAUAUACCAAUGAGAAAUGAGUUGCUCCGAAGGUUUUUUUGUUUUUGUUUUUUAUUUUCUUAUUUUUUUGUUUGUUUUUGUUUUUUGUUUUUUUCCUCCACUGUACCGUUCAUUUUGGGGCGAUAUGGUGUUAACCUUGAACAGACUGCAAACUUCUGAUGACGAGUUGUUGUUCAAAUUCAAUCUUUUCUGGCAUUUCAUACCGACUUAUGAUUUCUUUUUUCAAGAAUUUGUUGACUGUUAACUUUGUGAUAUUGGCAGAUGAAACAACCUCUACCCACUUGGUGAAGUAAUCGACGAUUACAAAGAUGAAUCAAUAACCACCAGAAGCUUUU